This 70-nucleotide transfer RNA is filed under the name Marmota monax (woodchuck). Its description in RNAcentral is "tRNA.Ala". Lineage: Eukaryota; Metazoa; Chordata; Mammalia; Rodentia; Sciuridae. The record is from RNAcentral.
GGGGCUGUGGCUCAGCCGUAGAGCACUCGCCUAGCCUGUGAGAGGCACUGGGUUCGAUCCUCACGCCACA